GACGAACGCUGGCGGCGUGCCUAAUACAUGCAAGUCGAACGCUUCUUUCCUCCCGAGUGCUUGCCCUCAAUUGGAAAGCGGACGGGCGGGUGGUUGAUUAACACCUUGCUAACCUACCCAUCAGAGGGGUAUAACACUUGGGAACAUAUGCUAAUACCGCAUAACAGUUUAUGCCGCAUGGCAUAAGAGUGAACUGCGCUUUCAGGUUUCGUUUAUGGAUGGACCCGCGGUCCAUUAGCUAGUUGGUGAGGUAACGGCUCACCAAGGCCACGAUUCAUAGCCGAUCUGAGAGGGUGAUCGGCCACACUGGGACUGAGACACGGCCCAGACUCCUACGGGAGGCAGCAGUAGGGAAUCUUCGGCAAUGGACGAAAGUCUGACCGAGCAACGCCGCGUGAGUGAAGAAGGUUUUCGGAUCGUAAAACUCUGUUGUUAGAGAAGAACAAGGACGUUAGUAACUGAACGUCGGCUGACGGUAUCUAGCAAGAAAGCCAGGGCUGACUACGUG
This 508-nucleotide ribosomal RNA is filed under the name uncultured bacterium. RNAcentral's name for it is "partial 16S ribosomal RNA". It matches the Rfam family "Bacterial small subunit ribosomal RNA", at positions 28 to 507 of the family's 1533-position model. The record is from RNAcentral.